RNAcentral lists this long non-coding RNA (265 nucleotides) under Gossypium raimondii (Peruvian cotton). RNAcentral's name for it is "long non-coding RNA (GRAI_LNC001566)". Lineage: Eukaryota; Viridiplantae; Streptophyta; Magnoliopsida; Malvales; Malvaceae. The record is from RNAcentral.
UUUUUGAGAUUGAUGAGAAAAUUUGAAAUAGGGGUUUGAUUGUGUUCAUCAAUUUUGGGGAUAGAGAUUUUUUUUAUUUUUGUUCAUUUUUUAUUGCUUUUAACUAAGAUUGAAACUGAAACAAAUUUUCAGUUUUCGUUCAUCAAUUUGUUAAAAAAAUGUUUUUUGUUUAAAAUUUUCAAUGUUUGGUUAAAUCAAGUGGUUUAAAUAAAUUUGUCAAACAAAUUUUUUGUUCAUUUUCAAUUUUUGUUUCAAUUUUCAUUCA